Molecule: ribosomal RNA, 1203 nt
Filed under: Cutibacterium acnes
Lineage: Bacteria; Bacillati; Actinomycetota; Actinomycetes; Propionibacteriales; Propionibacteriaceae
Description: partial 16S ribosomal RNA
Rfam family: Bacterial small subunit ribosomal RNA
Source: RNAcentral
CGAACGGGUGAGUAACACGUGAGUAACUGCCCUUGACUUUGGGAUAACUUCAGGAAACUGGGGCUAAUACCGGAUAGGAGCUCUGCUGCAUGGUGGGGGUUGGAAAGUUUCGGCGGUUGGGGAUGGACUCGCGGCUUAUCAGCUUGUUGGUGGGGUAGUGGCUUACCAAGGCUUUGACGGGUAGCCGGCCUGAGAGGGUGACCGGCCACAUUGGGACUGAGAUACGGCCCAGACUCCUACGGGAGGCAGCAGUGGGGAAUAUUGCACAAUGGGCGGAAGCCUGAUGCAGCAACGCCGCGUGCGGGAUGACGGCCUUCGGGUUGUAAACCGCUUUCGCCUGUGACGAAGCGUGAGUGACGGUAAUGGGUAAAGAAGCACCGGCUAACUACGUGCCAGCAGCCGCGGUGAUACGUAGGGUGCGAGCGUUGUCCGGAUUUAUUGGGCGUAAAGGGCUCGUAGGUGGUUGAUCGCGUCGGAAGUGUAAUCUUGGGGCUUAACCCUGAGCGUGCUUUCGAUACGGGUUGACUUGAGGAAGGUAGGGGAGAAUGGAAUUCCUGGUGGAGCGGUGGAAUGCGCAGAUAUCAGGAGGAACACCAGUGGCGAAGGCGGUUCUCUGGGCCUUUCCUGACGCUGAGGAGCGAAAGCGUGGGGAGCGAACAGGCUUAGAUACCCUGGUAGUCCACGCUGUAAACGGUGGGUACUAGGUGUGGGGUCCAUUCCACGGGUUCCGCGCCGUAGCUAACGCUUUAAGUACCCCGCCUGGGGAGUACGGCCGCAAGGCUAAAACUCAAAGGAAUUGACGGGGCCCCGCACAAGCGGCGGAGCAUGCGGAUUAAUUCGAUGCAACGCGUAGAACCUUACCUGGGUUUGACAUGGAUCGGGAGUGCUCAGAGAUGGGUGUGCCUCUUUUGGGGUCGGUUCACAGGUGGUGCAUGGCUGUCGUCAGCUCGUGUCGUGAGAUGUUGGGUUAAGUCCCGCAACGAGCGCAACCCUUGUUCACUGUUGCCAGCACGUUAUGGUGGGGACUCAGUGGAGACCGCCGGGGUCAACUCGGAGGAAGGUGGGGAUGACGUCAAGUCAUCAUGCCCCUUAUGUCCAGGGCUUCACGCAUGCUACAAUGGCUGGUACAGAGAGUGGCGAGCCUGUGAGGGUGAGCGAAUCUCGGAAAGCCGGUCUCAGUUCGGAUUGGGGUCUGCAACUCGA